CAGUAGCCGCGGGAAUACGAAGGGUGCAAGCGUUAAUCGGAAUUACUGGGCGUAAAGGGCGCGUAGGCGGUUUUGACAGUCAGAUGUGAAAUUCCUGGGCUUAACCUGGGGGCUGCAUUUGAGACGUCAAGACUAGAGUGUGAGAGAGGGUUGUGGAAUUCCCAGUGUAGAGGUGAAAUUCGUAGAUAUUGGGAAGAACACCGGUGGCGAAGGCGGCAACCUGGCUCAUUACUGACGCUGAGGCGCGAAAGCGUGGGGAGCAAACAGGAUUAGAUACCCCCGUAGUCCCUGUCUCUUAUAC
This 301-nucleotide ribosomal RNA is filed under the name uncultured bacterium. RNAcentral describes it as "partial 16S ribosomal RNA". It matches the Rfam family "Bacterial small subunit ribosomal RNA", at positions 509 to 807 of the family's 1533-position model. The record is from RNAcentral.